RNAcentral lists this ribosomal RNA (449 nucleotides) under Leptotrichia sp. oral taxon 463. Its description in RNAcentral is "bacterial SSU rRNA". It matches the Rfam family "Bacterial small subunit ribosomal RNA", at positions 28 to 495 of the family's 1533-position model. The record is from RNAcentral. Lineage: Bacteria; Fusobacteriati; Fusobacteriota; Fusobacteriia; Fusobacteriales; Leptotrichiaceae.
GAUGAACGCUGACAGAAUGCUUAACACAUGCAAGUCUUUGGCAAAUCUGUGCUUGCACAGCAUAGCCAAGGCGGACGGGUGAGUAACGCGUAAAGAACUUGCCCUGCAGUCUGGGAUAACAGACGGAAACGACUGAUAAAACCUGAUAUAAUCAAGCCCACGCAUGUGGUGCUUGAUGAAAAGAAAUGCUGCAGGAGAGCUUUGCGUCCUAUUAGCUUGUUGGUGGGGUAAUGGCCCACCAAGGCAAUGAUAGGUAGCCGGCCUGAGAGGGUGACCGGCCACAAGGGGACUGAGAUACGGCCCUUACUCCUACGGGAGGCAGCAGUGGGGAAUAUUGGACAAUGGGGGCAACCCUGAUCCAGCAAUUCUGUGUGCACGAAGAAGGUUUUCGGAUUGUAAAGUGCUUUCAGCAGGGAAGAAGAAAAUGACUGACCUGCAGAAGAGCGACG